RNAcentral lists this long non-coding RNA (545 nucleotides) under Panax ginseng (ginseng). Its description in RNAcentral is "long non-coding RNA (PGIN_LNC017771)". Lineage: Eukaryota; Viridiplantae; Streptophyta; Magnoliopsida; Apiales; Araliaceae. The record is from RNAcentral.
AAAUUCUCAUUUAAAUUUAAAGCCAAAAUGUAUCAACUAUUCAAAAUACAUCCCAAUAAUACUAUCUGUACAUCUCAAAUUCAAAAUAUACCAAUUACAAAGAAUAUUAAUACCAUACAACAUUUACAUCCCAAUAAUACCAAACUAUCCAUACAUCUCAAAUUCACUUGCUACCUAAAUGUAUACAUCCUUUCCACCAAAAAAUGUCAUUAGAAGUCUCCAACAAUAUACUUAGACUUCAGAGAUUAAAACUUUUUUUGGUGGUCAAACCUUAGUAACCCAGGAAACUUACAGUGUGUUACUUGAUACAAGUACUCGGAAUCUAACAAACCACUUGGCAUCAGAGGAAACAUUGUCAGGCUGUACUUGCAGCUGCUGUGUUUGUAAUUGAGGUUGUCCUUUUCCCAUCACAAAUUGUGCAUAGUCUAAAGUUUUUGGAGGACAAGUUUUUGGCAGUGAAGCUUGAAACAAAGAGACAGUCAUAUAGUUAAAAUCUAUAUUGCUGUUAUUGCUGUAGAAUGCCAUCCUCCAGCAUCAAUAUCAUC